UAGGGAAUCUUCGGCAAUGGGGGGAACCCUGACCGAGCAACGCCGCGUGAGUGAAGAAGGUUUUCGGAUCGUAAAGCUCUGUUGUUAAGGAAGAACGAGUGUGAGAAUGGAAAGUUCAUACUGUGACGGUACUUAACCAGAAAGGGACGGCUAACUACGUGCCAGCAGCCGCGGUAAUACGUAGGUCCCGAGCGUUGUCCGGAUUUAUUGGGCGUAAAGCGAGCGCAGGCGGUUAGAAAAGUCUGAAGUGAAAGGCAGUGGCUCAACCAUUGUAGGCUUUGGAAACUGUUUAACUUGAGUGCAGAAGGGGAGAGUGGAAUUCCAUGUGUAGCGGUGAAAUGCGUAGAUAUAUGGAGGAACACCGGUGGCGAAAGCGGCUCUCUGGUCUGUAACUGACGCUGAGGCUCGAAAGCGUGGGGAGCGAACAGCAUUAGAUACCCUGGUAGUCCACGCCGUAAACGAUGAGUGCUAGGUGUUAGGUCCUUUCCGGGACUUAGUGCCGCAGCUAACGCAUUAAGCACUCCGCCUGGGGAGUACGACCGCAAGGUUG
RNAcentral lists this ribosomal RNA (550 nucleotides) under uncultured bacterium. Its description in RNAcentral is "bacterial SSU rRNA". It matches the Rfam family "Bacterial small subunit ribosomal RNA", at positions 355 to 896 of the family's 1533-position model. The record is from RNAcentral.